Molecule: ribosomal RNA, 253 nt
Filed under: uncultured bacterium
Lineage: Bacteria
Description: partial 16S ribosomal RNA
Rfam family: Bacterial small subunit ribosomal RNA
Source: RNAcentral
UACAGGGGGUGCAAACGUUGCUCGGAAUCAUUGGGCGUAAAGCGCGCGUAGGUGGCUUCGUAAGUCCGUUGUGAAAGUCAAAGGCUCAACCUUUGAAAGCCGAUGGAUACUGUGGAGCUAGAGUACGGAAGAGGCGAGUGGAAUUCCUGGUGUAGCGGUGGAAUGCGCAGAUAUCAGGAGGAACACCAAUAGCGAAGGCAGCUCGCUGGGACGUUACUGACACUGAGGCGCGAAAGCGUGGGGAGCGAACAGG